GGGGGCUGUGGAGACCGGCGGAUGGGUGAGUAACGCGUAGGUAAUUUGCCGCAGGGCCGGGGAUAACCCACCGAAAGGUGAGCUAAUACCCGAUAAUGCAGCGGGGCCGCAUGGCCACAGUUGUUAAAGCCUUCGGGUGCCUUGCGAUGAACCUGCGUGCCAUUAGCUAGUUGGUAGGGGAAGGGCCUACCAAGGCGAUGAUGGCUAGGGGGUCUGAGAGGAUGAUCCCCCACACUGGGACUGAGACACGGCCCAGACUCCUACGGGAGGCAGCAGUGAGGAAUCUUGCGCAAUGGGGGCAACCCUGACGCAGCCACGCCGCGUGCUGGAAGACGGCCCUAUGGGUUGUAAACAGCUUUUACUGGGGAAGAACCUGGAGGUUUCGAUCUCCACUGACGGUACCCAGUGAAUAAGCACCGGCUAACUCCGUGCCAGCAGCCGCGGUAAUACGGAGGGUGCAAGCGUUGUCCGGAAUCAUUGGGUGUAAAGGGUGCGCAGGCGGAAGUCUAAGUCGGAGGUGAAAUCUUGCCGCUUAACGGUAAAAGGGCCUUCGAAACUGGAUUUCUUGAGUUCGGAAGAGGUCGGUGGAAUUCGUGGUGUAGCGGUGAAAUGCAUAGAUAUCACGAAGAACACCAGUGGCGAAGGCGGCCGACUGGUCCGAUACUGACGCU
This 671-nucleotide ribosomal RNA is filed under the name uncultured bacterium. Its description in RNAcentral is "bacterial SSU rRNA". It matches the Rfam family "Bacterial small subunit ribosomal RNA", at positions 81 to 747 of the family's 1533-position model. The record is from RNAcentral.